AGAAUUACAAUCCGGCGGCUGUUCGAAUCAGCCCUCGUCCAGGGCGAGUAGUGAAAUGGUCACACGUUAAAUUCAUUUG
Molecule: transfer RNA, 79 nt
Filed under: Rhizoctonia solani AG-1 IB
Lineage: Eukaryota; Fungi; Basidiomycota; Agaricomycetes; Cantharellales; Ceratobasidiaceae
Description: tRNA-Met
Source: RNAcentral